UGGCUCAGAUGGUAAAGCAUCUGUCUACAAUGCAGGAGAUCCGGGUUCGAUCCCUGG
This 57-nucleotide transfer RNA is filed under the name Ovis aries (sheep). It matches the Rfam family "tRNA", at positions 8 to 63 of the family's 71-position model. From Rfam's summary of the family: Transfer RNA (tRNA) molecules are approximately 80 nucleotides in length. Lineage: Eukaryota; Metazoa; Chordata; Mammalia; Artiodactyla; Bovidae. The record is from Rfam by way of RNAcentral.